This is a long non-coding RNA of Mus musculus (house mouse), 2606 nucleotides long. RefSeq annotates it as RIKEN cDNA 1700055L01 gene. Lineage: Eukaryota; Metazoa; Chordata; Mammalia; Rodentia; Muridae. The transcript is spliced from 2 exons. The record is from RefSeq and is a predicted model, not a curated record.
CUCUGUCCUCUCAUCCCUUCCCCCCUCUCUCUCCACAUGCUCAUGGCAGGCCUCUACUCCUCUAGUCCCCUACUUCUAUAGUCUGCCUUUGUCUGCCUCUACUACCCUCUUGACUCCCCUCGCCAAGCCCUGAAUAAACUCUAUUCUAUACUAUACCAUCGCAUGGCUGGUCCCUCAGGGGAAAGGGAUAUGGUGGCAUGGGCCCGCCAAUGCACUCCCUUCCCCCACUCCUCACCACAAAUCCAUAAAACCUAUUCCUUCUCUCUUUAUCAUUUUACAAACACAUCACUGCCUCCCUCCUGCUUCAUUGAUUCUGGCAGCCUAAUGAGAUGGGUGAAUUUUAACCCCAAGGGCUAACUAAGUCUUCAGUGUUCCUGAGACUGGCAGCAGCCCUCACAAGCCUUAGAACAUUUCUUCCUUGCUUUUCUGGGAGUGAGCUCUGGGCCUCACUGAGCUUCUCUUCCUCCCUUAGCCUCAUGGAUAACUUCUGAUUCCUCUCAUUUGACGGGAUCAGACCAAUCUAAUCCCAGACUCACUAUAGGGAAGAACCAGCAACCUGCAGUCCCUGCCCAUAGCUCUAUUCCAUAGCCCUGCCUGCCAGGCUAACCCUUGCAGGAGGAAGGAGGCAGGGCCUCCCCUGAGGGAUGAGAUCAUUCUGGACAGCCACCUAGACAACAUGGCUCAGACAGCAACUGGGAGGAAAGGCUGAAGUGGAAAGCAGAGAGCUCAGAAGUUUCUUCUCCUGCCCCCAAAGAGGACAUGCCUAGAAGGUCCUGGGAUGUGCACACUGAUUAAGCAUUACAAUGGUGGCCUCCAUGUGAUGAUGGAGCCCAGCACCAGCCAGAAGACAGCAAGGGCCUAGGGACUGUGUUUGGGACAGAGCUUGGUCUAUAGAUGCACCUCUAUCCUAAGGAGCCAGUGCGCUUAUUUCCCUAGAAUAUUUCUGGAAGGCUUGUUCUCUGCGUUUCAGCUGUGCUGGAGGAAGAAGCCAUGUUUAGCCAGCUCAGAGUGUCCAUGGGGACACCUGUCAGCUCUUGGAAUCCAAAAGAACUGUUCUAAAUACAGCAGGAACCCUAGCAGAAGCUACGGUGUAUGAAACAGGUAGGGUGACUUGGGUGUUCUUAGCACCUUUAAUUCUCUCAAUCAUUCACGAUGUAAGGGCUGUUGCUCUCCUCAUUUUACAGAUGAGGAAACUAAGGAGGAAAGAGUUAACAUAUUGCCCAGUUAUAUGCAAUAACUGUCCCAUCGCCCUCAAGAUCACAUUCUAGGUAAUAAAAUACACAAAUCUUAAAGCUCAGGCUUGGGACUUUACACCGAUGGACAUGCUGGUGUGAGGACCACUCCAAUCAAGAAGUAGGACAUUUCCCAUCACUCCGUUCAGCCUCGCAAUCAGUCCCCCACCAGGAAAAGUUGCCAUUGCUCUGUGUUGUCUGUCCCAAGCCUGGCAUGGGUGGAGCUGCACAGCCGAUCUGUAUCACUUGGCCCAUCCCCUCCCUCCCUCAUGGUGUUGUUAAGACCUGAGCUCAGGGGCUGUGGAAGUGGCUCGGUGGAGAAAGCACUUGCUGAACAGCAUGAAGGUCUGAGUUCUGAUGCCCAGCACUCAUGUUAAAAGUCGGGCAUGGCCUUCUGAACACGUCUAACCCUACCACUGUGAAGAAGAGACACAGUUAGAACGCUGGGGCUUCCUGGCUGCAAGCCUAGCUCCAGGGUCAGUGAGAGACUCAAGGGGGAAAGAUAGAAAAUGAUAGAAUAGGACACUGUUUCCUUUGGCCUCCAUUCAAGGGUACUCACACAUACAGGGGCGCACUCCCCCUUUCCCUGCAUGCACGCGUGCGCACAUGAGCACAUGCACACGCACACAUCUUUGACAUGCAAAGUGACAUUGACGUCUAAUGCUGAUGUUUGUUAAGUCUUCAAUAAGCAGACUGCUAUCCAUAUAACCACAUAGAUUAGGCACAGAGUAAGGGAUUAGUGGGGCAGGUUAGAUCAUCCUAGGGAAAGGAAACAGAAUAGUGAGGAUGGAGGAUGGAAAUGGGGGAGGCCUGGCAUGGGAAGCUCAAGCAGGGAGAAGGGGAGACGAAGGUAAGAGACAGCUAACACUAAGGGCCGCAUGAGGGGUCCUAUGGAAAGCUGACAGAGUAGAAGCAUCUUAAAAGAUACACAUCUGAAAGUGAUCUAAAUGGAAACACCAAAUCAUGGGGAAACAGAGCCCUAACUGGACUUCUCUCAUUACCAAGUCAAGGCUCCAGCUCUCCUGGGCCUCUCUAGUUACCAGUCAAGGCUCCAGUUCUGAGAAUGCAAUUGUUGGCUAAACCGGUUCCAUGGGAACCCCAAAACAACCCAGACGGUUGCCAAGGCUACUGGUUGCUCACCACAAAUUCAUGAUCAGCAUCUCACUCAGCCACUACAGAAGAAGCUUCCUCCUACAUCGGAUGGGAGCUAAUACAGAGACCGGCGUCUGGACAAUGCAGAGAGUGAGACACAGCAGAACACUCAGUUCUAAAUGAGUUGUCUCCACCAAGUCCCUCCCCUCAAGGCCCAGGGAGCCCAACUGAAGAAGAGUGUAAGAGCCCAGAGUGGAUGGAGGACACCAAGGAAUCCAGCCU